This 39-nucleotide ribosomal RNA is filed under the name Cavia porcellus (domestic guinea pig). Lineage: Eukaryota; Metazoa; Chordata; Mammalia; Rodentia; Caviidae. The record is from RNAcentral.
UGAGCACGCCUGAUUUCAUCUAAUCUCAGAAGCUAAGCA